Molecule: transfer RNA, 16 nt
Filed under: Crocodylus niloticus (Nile crocodile)
Lineage: Eukaryota; Metazoa; Chordata; Crocodylia; Crocodylidae
Description: partial tRNA-Phe
Source: RNAcentral
GAGUCCCGAAUGACGA